Molecule: long non-coding RNA, 1066 nt
Filed under: Podarcis lilfordi (Lilford's wall lizard)
Lineage: Eukaryota; Metazoa; Chordata; Lepidosauria; Squamata; Lacertidae
Source: RNAcentral
CACUUCGGAUGGGAAUACAUUUAAUCUGGCUUUGGUGAAAAGACGCCGAUAUGUUGGUACAAAUUUCUAAGAUAUGCUGGUGUUUGAAAAUUGAACCCAUAGUGAAUUCCUACUGCUAAUGGGCCACAGUUAACAUGAGAUUGAGAUCGGAGAUCACUAUGUGAUAUGUCCCAGAGCCUUUGCCUCAGAGAUUCAAGGGCGGUAUCAUAGCCCACAUGGUACAGGAGAGAAGGUGGCAUACCAAGCCAAGUGGCUGUUCUAACCAUCAUUUUCAUCCAUGAGCUGGUAAACUCCUCGUUGCUUAGGUAUGGAAGUAACCCCUUCCCUAGGCCAAAGACUGAGAUCUUGAGCCAGUAUCUCAGGGAAGCCCACCGUGCUUUAGUUCAUAGAGGACAUUCACCUGUUUCUAAAAAUAGUUUUGCAUUUGGAACACAAUUUGGAACUUGUAGGAGGGACUGGAGAAACUUUGCCUUUCUCACACCAUAAAUAUGCAUGCCAACCAAAUCGGUUGUCAUGUCCUUCCGGAUCUAAUAAAUCAGUAUUUUCUAAUUUGAUCCAGUCCCAGAUCCAAGUAAUGCAGCUUGCCUCAUAGCAAAAUUUUCAGUCUGGAAGACAGCCAUUUUUUCAUAUGUGGUGGAAUUGUAAAAAUAAUUAUUGGGAUAUGAUUUAUAAUGAAAUGAAAAAAAUGUUCAAGUUAACCUUUGUUAAAAGUUCAGUAGCAUUUUUAUUAGAUAUUGUAGGGCAAUAUUUACCAAAAGAUAAGAAUCUAUUUAUGUAUGCAACAACAGUGGCCAGAAUUCUACUACCUCAAAGAUGGAAAAGCGACAAAAUACCAACAAAAAGGAAAUUGGCAAGAAGAGUUGAUGGAAUACGCUGAAAUGGCGAAGUUAACUGAGAGACUCAAAGUUAAGGACAGUAACGACUUUUAAAAAGAUUGCGAACAUUAUACACACACACACACACACACACACACACACAGAAACAAUGCACCGAAAUGAACUAAUUUGCAGGAUUCGAGUAAUCCACUUACAAUGGACAUAUAUAAAUAGAAAAUAAUAAUAUGAGG